AAGUUGAGAAAAAGCCAUAAGGAAGCACUUGUACCACUUGUACAGGGAUAAGAGUUGUCCUUGUUUCCAGUUUCAGUAAACAUGGUAAACAUCACUUCCAUGUGUGCUGCAUGUGUUUGUGAGGUGGGUCUGAUAUCUGAUCUUGUGUAGUGAAGUUUGUAUGAGUAAUGCUGUCAGAAUUUCACCAUUGGCUACAGAAUCAGGGUCAGGCAGUUGUCAGCUUUCCCCAGAUGCAGCAUGUCACCUGAUCAGAGAUAGCUCCUGCAAGUGAUUUUUCAUAAAAGCUGCUGCAAAGUUGGAAUUAAUCACUCCAACAUGGAUGUGAACCCCUACAAACGUUGUGAUGCCUGUUACCUGAUUCCCACCCGUGUCCUGUGUAUAGGGCUUGUUAUCCUCCAGGGUGCUAUAAUAGACUACUAUCUGAUCCAACACAACAACAGCUACUGGUAUGCAUGGAUAGCAGCUGAUGUAGCCUUGAUCUUUAUAUUCAUCAUGGCAUUUCUCUUCUCAUAUCGUCACCUUCAACUUGUUAAAAUUACUUCAAAUGAACAGGCCCCUGUUCGGGCAGGCAGUCUCCCUCUUGGGUUCUUCGCCUGGUUUGUGUACUCGAUCAUUCUUGCAGUUCGUGUUGGAAUAAUAUUUAAAAACUUUGCAUGGAAACUUAAAGAAGAAGAUUUCUUUGGUCCAAAUACUCUCAAGAUCGCUGUUGCUCUUUCAGCUUUAGUGUUCGUACUGCUGUUGUUAUCACAUCAUGAUGCCCCACCAAAAAGUGAACGACAAAAACACAUCGACAUUCUUACACAAACUGUCGUGUUUGAUAUUUUAGAUUCUGUUGAUGUCCUGGAUGUGUUUUUUGAAAAGGAAAAUGUGGACGCUCUUAAAAUUCUCCCAGGAAUUAACUGGGGAAUCAUCUGCAUAGCGUGUGCCAACCUCAUCAUCCCCACUCUCCCACUCAUGGCGCUGAGUCGGAUACACUUCGGCUACAAGUUCCUUCCAGAAACACUGGAGACUUUACACAAGAUGCUGCUGUUGCUAGUCAUCAACACCCCGCUGUUUACGCUGCGUCUCAUCCUCUGGCAUCGACUGGAUCAAGACGUGUCCACCUUCAUCAUGAAGAACUUUCUUGUCAUUGGUCUGGUGAUCUAUGACUUUUACAACAAAGGUCGAUUCCGGCGAAUGCAUGGUGGUACGGAAGAAACGGAUGGUGCGAAGAAAAGGGAGAUGGAAGAGAUAAUGCUGAGGGAUCAUAAUGCCAGCUUUGAUAAGAGUCUUCAAACAUGAAGGUGAAGGUCAUCACAAGGCCAAGGGUUAUGACAUAUUUCUCUCUUGAUGUGUUGGGUGAAGGUCAUCACAAGGGCAAGGGUCAUGACAUCUCGCUCUUGAUUUAUUGGGUGAAGGUCAUAACAAGGGCAAAGGUCAACUGAAGGGCAAGGGUCAUGACCUCUCACUUUUUUCUCCUGUCACAGCUGUGAUGGGACAAAAUGGCAAUUAAGGCGUCACUUUGAAAGUUAAAGUAGUCAGAAUACCAUUCUGUUCUGAGAAUUGAACACUAACGUCAAUUUCUUGAUGUUUGUUUGCAAUACAAACUUGACAAUCAUUAUACUACAUCAGUAAUUGGCUUUGCAGAAAGACAGCAAAUUCUUGAAAUUAAAUUUCAGCAUACAUGGCCAUACUUCACUCACUUAAGUUUGAUAUUCAACUUAUAUUUCUGUCAGACUUACUUAGAUUUUUAUCACUUCCUAUUGUAUUAUUGUUUCAAAGUAUUCUUUUAAAUGUGUGUAUGUUGUGUGUUUAGAAAUGUUUCAUUGUUACAUGAACAUUAUGAUUCAUUGCAAAAAUGCAGUAGAAUGAAAGACUGGAAUUAAUUUCUUUUGAAUUAUUUAUUAGAUGUUUCGCAUAAACAUGAUAAAGGGAAAAAAUACUGCCAGCCAACAUGUGUGGGUUAAGCCUACAGCAUCUAUACGGUAUCUUACUGCAAUGGUUUUAGAUACAAAUUGUUUGUUGCCAUAUUUGUUUAUAUUUUUGCAUCACAUAUUUUAGGUCAUUGUUAGUAAGCAUUACAAAACAUCCGUUUUACUGUAAGGAGCUUGUAUUGCAGAGAGUCUUCUCUCCAGUUGUAUUGGGUAUGUAGUGGAGUUUAUGGAAAUUUAUCAAAACAUCAGUCACCAAUAGAAUUGGUAUUUUACAUGCAAGGUAAGAUGAUAAAUGUAUCUUCAAUUUGUUCAUUUAUAAGUGUGUAUACCUUUGUUGCAGACAAGUGAAAAUAUAAAUUAGUUCUAAAGUCCAUCACUGGAUUGAUCACACAACACCAUAAGCAUUAUGAGGUCGUCAAGUUGCAUCAAUGGACCUAGGAUAUAUAUCUGGUUAUCACCUUAUACAGUUAGUUAUUAAGAAUUACAUUUUGAAAGUAAGGGAGAUUUUACACGGAACUAAAAUAUUUAUCUGAUUUGUUCAUUUAGUCAUUGCUAGUUAAUAUCUGUAUGUAGUGUUAACUGUAAGUAGAGUCCACUUGGCUUGUUCAUAUUGCAUAAAAUCAAAUAGAAAUUUUAAUAUGAAUACCAAUGCAAAAUUAAGAAUUCACUGUCACAGAAAUGUUUACCGGUACAUACAAGUAUAUUUAGAUGGACAAUGAGGAGGUAGAAAAUUCAAUUUUAAACAUUUAAUCAGCCUAAUAGUCAGCCUAGUUCAUAUUUAGCAUUUAAUUGAUUCAUUGCAGGUCUACAUAGGUAAUUGUUGUCUAAACACAUAGGGAAUAUCCUACCGUAUAUAGCUGUGUGUAAGGCGACCCCACGUAUAAGACGACCCCCUGUACACGCCUUCGAAAUUGUACAUAUCUAGUCAUUAGAUCCUCAGGAAAACCCUUAAAUUAUUAAUCAAAGAAUUUGAUGGUCUCUGUAUGAAGGUUGGUACUACCCACAACACAACUCAAGGAUCCACCAAGCUGUUUCUAAUACUGCAUACUACUGCAUGCAAUACAAAACAAUACUCAUUCACUCACUCACUCACUCACUCUCAUAGAUUGUUUUAUUCAUUCAGAUCAUUCACAGUUUGACAAUCAUCCUUGUGUUUUUUAGUUGUCCCCUGACUUUGUGGGGCUGGCUUUAUCAUUGUUUAACGGAAGGAUAGAUUGAAAAAUAAUAUUUGUACUUGAUGUAUUUAUUACAGAACCACUUUUGUGACAGAUUUUGUAGAUCAAAGAAUUCUGUCAGGAAUGCAACAUUUAGUUUCCCAGUUUGAUAUAUAGUGGGGUUAUUGUUCUUGUCUGUUACCAUGGUAACCACCUCAUUCACUAUCAUUACACUUAGUCACUACAGACAUAAGUGCUGUUGUAUAAAACAAUCUUAGCGCUAAGACUGUUGUGAGUCUUUGUUCAGAUAUGGGAGUUACGAUCACCUUAGCACUAAAAUUGCUUUGUACAAUGUCACCCUGUAACUAUGAACAGUAUAUAGCAAUAGUCACUGGAUUGCUUGCCUUUGACUGGUGAGAAGUGACUAAGUACUCAGUUUCUAUUCUGAACUUUUAACACUUUUAAAUGUUACAUUCUGAAAGAAUGUCUUGCUCAGUUCCAUAAAGCUUUUUGAAAUUCAGUUAUGAUGUUUGUGAUUCACUGUGUUCAUCUAACCAGAAGUUAGCCAGUUAUAUCUCUGUGUGGAUGUGGAUGAAAUGAAACAGUCACUAUGACUAAGAUAGAGGUUUGUAAAACCCACUAGCAAUGGCAAUGGUACAGUUAAAAUAAGGAUCAUAAUCUGGUAAAGUAUGAUUUCAACAAUCUAUCAGCAGAUCCUGGUAUGGCUAAGGGAUGGAACUCUGCAAAGCACAUAGCCAUCUGUGCACCAUCUUCAUGAAGAAUAUACUUGCUGCAUCUCUAGUUUUGUACAUGCAGUAUAUUUAGUCUGCUUCCAUCUUCAUCACGUUCAGGCCUGGAUCGGGUCACCGGUGGCCAAGUUGUCUAAGGCACUGUGCAGAGUUGCGUCCCUUGGUCCCUUGGUCACAGAAACCUGUGAUGGUGGGUUCUAUUGAUUACAAGUUUGCCCCAAUGGUGUUUCUAGGUGUUUGUUGGUUUCACCAAAGUGGUAAACAUGGUAAAGAUCUGAGACCUGCAUCACUUCAGGUUGACACGAUGUUAUGUAACUGCAAUACUGUUCAAUGCGGUGUUAAACCAACUCACUCACACCAGCAUGGCAGCGAAGUAGUUAUUACUUUGAUGAACAUAUUUUGCUAUUGAAAAUGUUGAAAAUAUUGUAAAACAUUGUUGAUAUUUUUUAACUUUUAAUUUGAAAUGAAUGUCCUUUUGAAGACAUUUACCUACUUUUGGUCACCUUUUUUUGAUAACCAGCUAAUACUAUAACACAUGUUUGUUACCAUCAUAUAUUUUUGAGGUCAUAUAUAUAUAUAAAUGAAAAAAAAUCAAAUACUUAUCCCUGUCCAGAACCAUUGUAAUAUACUCAUGUUUUAAAUUUAGCAUUUAUAAUAGUAGAAUUUUGUGAUGCUAUGUGUUAACUUGUGAACCCCAAGAGGUAUAUCAUGAUUGUACUGAUGACCCUUUGUAUAAGAUCAGUGAUCAUCAUCAUAAUCAACAUCCAGUAAGACUGUUUUAUUGUAGUGGAAGUGCUGUCUCUUGUUAAAGAAAAAGACAUAUUCUUUAUACAUUUUUAAGUCUUUAAUAUAUAUUUCUUACAAAUGUCUUGAAAACAAAUUGUGGCAAAUAUUUUAAAGAAUGUUCUCAAUUUAUCAUGUGUAUGUAAACAACAGUCUGCAUUCUUUGUUUUUCUACUCUAUUUUCGAAGUGACUUUGAAACG
RNAcentral lists this unclassified non-coding RNA (4800 nucleotides) under Haliotis rufescens (red abalone). RNAcentral's name for it is "uncharacterized LOC124135676, transcript variant X1". The record is from RNAcentral. Lineage: Eukaryota; Metazoa; Mollusca; Gastropoda; Lepetellida; Haliotidae.